CCUACGGGUGGCAGCAGUGGGGAAUAUUGGACAAUGGGCGAAAGCCUGAUCCAGCCAUGCCGCGUGUGUGAAGAAGACCUUCGGGUUGUAAAGCACUUUCAGUGGGGAAGAAAGCCUUGGGGCUAAUACCCUCGAGGAAGGACAUCACCCACAGAAGAAGCACCGGCUAACUCCGUACCAGCAGCCGCGGUAAUACGGAGGGUGCGAGCGUUAAUCGGAAUUACUGGGCGUAAAGCGCGCGUAGGCGGUCUGAUAAGCCGGUUGUGAAAGCCCCGGGCUCAACCUGGGAACGGCAUCCGGAACUGUCAGGCUAGAGUGCAGGAGAGGAAGGUAGAAUUCCCGGUGUAGCGGUGAAAUGCGUAGAGAUCGGGAGGAAUACCAGUGGCGAAGGCGGCCUUCUGGACUGACACUGACGCUGAGGUGCGAAAGCGUGGGUAGCAAACAGGAUUAGCUACCCGUGUAGUC
RNAcentral lists this ribosomal RNA (465 nucleotides) under Vreelandella stevensii. RNAcentral describes it as "partial 16S ribosomal RNA". It matches the Rfam family "Bacterial small subunit ribosomal RNA", at positions 338 to 795 of the family's 1533-position model. The record is from RNAcentral. Lineage: Bacteria; Pseudomonadati; Pseudomonadota; Gammaproteobacteria; Oceanospirillales; Halomonadaceae.